This 235-nucleotide ribosomal RNA is filed under the name uncultured bacterium. Its description in RNAcentral is "partial 16S ribosomal RNA". It matches the Rfam family "Bacterial small subunit ribosomal RNA", at positions 96 to 334 of the family's 1533-position model. The record is from RNAcentral. RNAcentral also lists the same sequence under 1 other name.
UGGCGGACGGGUGAGUAAUGUCUGGGAAACUGCCUGAUGGAGGGGGAUAACUACUGGAAACGGUAGCUAAUACCGCAUAACGUCGCAAGACCAAGGAGGGGGACCUUCGGGCCUCUUGCCAUCGGAUGUGCCCAGAUGGGAUUAGCUAGUAGGUGGGGUAACGGCUCACCUAGGCGACGAUCCCUAGCUGGUCUGAGAGGAUGACCAGCCACACUGGAACUGAGACACGGUCCAG